This 101-nucleotide signal recognition particle RNA is filed under the name Streptococcus criceti HS-6. RNAcentral's name for it is "Bacterial signal recognition particle RNA". The stretch from base 8 to 93 matches the Rfam family "Bacterial small signal recognition particle RNA". Rfam says of the family: The signal recognition particle (SRP) is a universally conserved ribonucleoprotein involved in the co-translational targeting of proteins to membranes. Lineage: Bacteria; Bacillati; Bacillota; Bacilli; Lactobacillales; Streptococcaceae. The record is from RNAcentral.
AUAAUAGUCACCGGAGCGACACUUUCGCGUGAAGUGGGUCAGGGGAGGAAUCCAGCAGCCCUAAGCGAUGCUAAGUGUGUGCUCUUUUUACGUAUAGAAAA